GACGAACGCUGGCGGCGUGCUUAACACAUGCAAGUCGAACGGUAAGGCCCUUCGGGGUACACGAGUGGCGAACGGGUGAGUAACACGUGGGUGAUCUGCCCUGCACUUCGGGAUAAGCCUGGGAAACUGGGGCUAAUACCGGAUAGGACCACUGCCUGCAUGGGUGGUGGUGGAAAGCUUUUGCGGUGUGGGAUGGGCCCGCGGCCUAUCAGCUUGUGGGGGGGGUGAUGGCCUACCAAGGCCACGACGGGUAGCCGGCCUGAGAGGGUGACCGGGCACACUGGGACUGAGAUACUGCCCAGACUCCUACGGGAGGCAGCAGUGGGGAAUAUUGCACAAUGGGCGCAAGCCUGAUGCAGCGACGCCGCGUGAGGGAUGACGGCCUUCGGGUUGUAAACCUCUUUCAGCACCGACGAAGCGCAAGUGACGGUAGGUGCAGAGGAAGGACCGGCCAACUACGUGCCAGCAGCCGCAGUAA
Molecule: ribosomal RNA, 478 nt
Filed under: uncultured bacterium
Lineage: Bacteria
Description: partial 16S ribosomal RNA
Rfam family: Bacterial small subunit ribosomal RNA
Source: RNAcentral